CGGUGUUUAACUGGCGUGAUGUGGGACGUCCUACCGGUGGGCUUAGCCUCGCGAGGGGCGGCCCAACUAAUAUCCCGUCGCGGUGCUCUUUACUGAGUGUCGAGUCGGGCCGGUACGUUUACUUUGAACAAAUUAGAGUGCUUAAAGCAGGGCUAUCCUCGCCUGAAUACUGCGUGCAUGGGAAUAAUGGAAUAGGACCUCGGUUCUAUUUUGUUGGUUUUCGGAACCCCGAGGUAAUGAUUAAUAGGGACAGAUGGGGGCAUUCGUAUUGCGACGUUAGAGGUGAAAUUCUUGGAUCGUCGCAAGACGGACAGAAGCGAAAGCAUUUGCCAAAAAUGUUUUCAUUAAUCAAGAACGAAAGUUAGAGGUUCGAAGGCGAUCAGAUACCGCCCUAGUUCUAACCAUAAACGAUGCCAGCUAGCGAUCCGCCGAAGUUCCUCCGAUGACUCGGCGGGCAGCUUCCGGGAAACCAAAGCUUUUGGGUUCCGGGGGAAGUAUGGUUGCAAAGCUGAAACUUAAAGGAAUUGACGGAAGGGCACCACCAGGAGUGGAGCCUGCGGCUUAAUUUGACUCAACACGGGAAACCUCACCAGGCCCAGACACCGGAAGGAUUGACAGAUUGAUAGCUCUUUCUUGAUUCGGUGGGUGGUGGUGCAUGGCCGUUCUUAGUUGGUGGAGCGAUUUGUCUGGUUAAUUCCGAUAACGAACGAGACUCUAGCCUGCUAAAUAGGCGUACCUUAUGGUAUCGCGAAGGCCCCCGGCUUCGGCCGGUGGGUUUUUACUACCAACGUACAAACAAAUCUUCUUAGAGGGACAGGCGG
This 821-nucleotide ribosomal RNA is filed under the name uncultured eukaryote. RNAcentral describes it as "SSU rRNA". It matches the Rfam family "Eukaryotic small subunit ribosomal RNA", at positions 629 to 1426 of the family's 1831-position model. The record is from RNAcentral.